GGGAACCGAGCAUUUUUCGUGGCAGUAGACCGGGCUUGUACCCGGAAACUUUAAACGGAAAACAUGGUACCCACCU
RNAcentral lists this small RNA (76 nucleotides) under Fischerella thermalis WC441. RNAcentral describes it as "6S RNA". It matches the Rfam family "6S / SsrS RNA", at positions 59 to 135 of the family's 187-position model. From Rfam's summary of the family: E. coli 6S RNA was the first non coding RNA to be sequenced, but its function was unknown until recently. It consists of 184 nucleotides that fold into an extended hairpin structure with a large single-stranded internal bulge. Lineage: Bacteria; Bacillati; Cyanobacteriota; Cyanophyceae; Nostocales; Hapalosiphonaceae. The record is from RNAcentral.